GUACUGGAAGGGAUGAAGUCGCGGAGUCCACGCCCACCAGGAGCGUCAAAAUUUUAUGCAAAUUUUGAGUAUCGUUCAGUAGUUUGUAGCGUUUAAAAAGGAACUGAGAAUUUGCCUUAUAGAAUGAAAGGUUACGAAAGAUUUUUAAUAACGGAUGAUAUUUAUUGUGUAUAUUAAGCUCCAUACACGCAACAGUUCCUCUUAAUUGUAUCGUGUCUGCAUUUGGACCACAUAGUGUAUAGUGCUGCGGCGCGACCCUUCAGUAGUAGCAGCAGCAGUAGCAGCAGGAAGUUGAGGUGAACGAUGCAGCAGGCGUCGUGCACGCAGGUGAUGGGCUACUACCGGCCCGCGCCGGCCCCCGUCAUGCCCGUGCUGCCGCGGCCUCACUCCAGGACCGCCUUCAUGCCGCCGCACACCAACGUUGGUUUCUCAGGCGUUACCCCCGCACAGAGUUCAGGAACAGCGGUCCAUCUAAAGG
Long non-coding RNA from Schistocerca cancellata (South American locust), 478 nucleotides. RefSeq lists it as uncharacterized. The record is from RefSeq and is a predicted model, not a curated record. The transcript has 4 exons. Lineage: Eukaryota; Metazoa; Arthropoda; Insecta; Orthoptera; Acrididae.